GCCAAGUGGGGAAUAUUGAUCCCUUUGCCCUAUUGGUUCCCCUGUGUUUUGGGUGGGGCUUAGCGCUAUAUAGAGGGUGGAUUCGGUUAGGUAUGGGGCUGACGCAGUUCCUGUUGCUGGCGGUGGAAGUAGCAGCUGUGCUGUGAGUGGGCAGGGGGUUAAUUGGUUUCCGUAACCAUCCCUUAGCCAUUGGUUGCGGUAUAUUGAUCGCAUGGUUGGUGAAAUGCAUGCCGCUGGGGAGUUGCGUCCUGUUGCUGUUGGGGAGGUGGUGAAGGCAGCCCCAGCAGUGGUAUAAGUCUUCCGGUUGGUGGUUUACUGGGGAACGUGGACCUCGCCGCUGUUUUGUCUGUCCGGUUACCAGUGAUCGACAUCCGUGUAUCCUGUGGAGAACGUGGAUUCGUGGGGGUGGCCAGAGUGGGACUUUGGUGCCAGGAGUUGCUCGGAAUGCUGCUAUUCCGCUGCCGAUUGCGGCAUCUAGUCUAUGCAUAUACUGCCUCAAGAUUUUGUAUUUUGGUUGUUCUGGUAUGUUUUAUUUUAUUGCAUGUAUUAAUUAUUUGUGUUUGCCUUGGUUCGUUAAUUUAUUUUGAUUGUGAUUUUGUAUUUAUCUUGGGGGCGGUUAAGCAGGCCUAGCGGGGUAAUGGAAAGCGGCGGUACCCUACUAACCUGGUGUUUUGUUCCCUCAUCUGUGUUUCAGGGCUAGUAGCCUUGCGCAGCACCCGCCUGGUGUGUGGUGGACGUCACCCGUGUGCGUGUGCUGUAAAGUCACCGGUGUUGGUGUAUUACGCCGUGUGCGGGGUCGAUGGCAGGGAUUGGGCGCCUACGGGGUUUUAGAUUUAUGGUGUGGACUACUGAACCUUUUCAUUGAAUGUAAUAAAACAAAUAACUUUUA
Long non-coding RNA from Brienomyrus brachyistius, 889 nucleotides. RefSeq lists it as uncharacterized. The transcript has 2 exons. NCBI's taxonomy places the organism in Eukaryota, Metazoa, Chordata, Actinopteri, Osteoglossiformes, Mormyridae. The record is from RefSeq and is a predicted model, not a curated record.